UAGGGUUCUUGAGAGAACUUGAGAGAAAAUGUGUCUAAGUAUGGGAGAGGUGUUUUGGGAAAUGUUUUAGAGAUGGGAAUUGAACUAAUGGUAUAUAGGAAAUAACAUAUGCCCUUUGGAAAAAUGGUCCAACACUUAGAAAAAAAAAUGAGGCGGGUGAACAGUAAAAACGCUCACUGGAAAUUGCCUUUCCUGCCGGACAGAUUUUACGAAAAUGGGCAUAACUUCUUCGUCCGAACUCCGAAUGAGGUGAAACGAAGUGCGUUAGGUAGCUAACUCAAAGGGCUUUCCAUGGAUAUGUUAUUGGCCACCCAAUAAUUUGUGUGCUAGGAGAUAUGACCCUCCAAAGUAGACCCUCGAAAAAGGCUAUUUUUCUAUCGUUUCUCAAAACCACUCCUUGGGACACAACCCCAACCUUUAGUUGGGUUACUAUACUGUCGACGAUCGUAGAUACUCAUACCGUAGGUUAGUGUCGCUGGUCACAAUAAGCAUCAAAAUGGCGCCGCUGUCGGGGUGUGAUGUUAUUUGAGAAUUUUUAGAUUAGUAGAAUUUUUGUUCUUCUUAGUUGUAAUUUACUAACUUAAUUUUUAGUUUUGUUUUGAUUGAUUGUGUGAACAUAUCAGAAAGUAUGAGUGUUAACGGUAGUAACGGGACCCAGGUGGGCCAUCAAGACGACGUCGACAACCUCAACGAUGUUCAAGAACCCAACAUCAAUGAUCCACAUCUCAUGGGAGGUGUUGGGGCCAUCCGUCUACCUCCAGUAGAGGGAAACGCGGUGUUCCACAUAACGAGCACCAUGUUGCAACUCUUACAAUUGAAGGGACUUUUCAGUGGAUUAGCACAUGAAGACCCACAUGAGCAUCUUCGAAACUUCGUAGAUGUGUGUGGACUAUUCUCGUUCAAAAACAUCUCGGAGGAGUCGGUUUGAUUAAGGCUAUUCCCUUUCUCAUUGAUGGGGGAGACGUGCAAGUAGCUAGCUGAGUUACCACGUAACUCGAUCACUUCGUGGGAGGAGUUGGUCACUGUAUUCAACGUGUGAUUUUUCUCUCCCUCGAAGAUGAUGACUAUUCGAGAUAGCAUCCAAAGCUUCAAGCGUUUGAAUGGAGAACCUCUGCAUGAAACAUGGCUCCAGUUUUAAAAAUUGGUGCUACAAUGCCCAACCCAUGGUCUACCUGAUAAUGUUCUUCUUCAAUACUUUUAUAGGAGUCUCGACUCGGUAAACAAAGGUGUAGUUGACCAACUCUCGCCUGGAGGAUUGAUGCAGCAACCAUAUGCAGUAGCAGCUCAACUUCUUGAUGGCAUGACAACCAUCAACAAGGCGUAGUACACUCGCGAAGACCAAGUCUCACCGGUCACCUUUCAGUUAGAGAUGAAAGCUGGAAGGAUCGAGAUCGUGAAUGGAGGGACCGUAAUCCAAAUUGGAAGGAUGGGGAGAAAGAUAGAUAUGUGCCUCCCCACGAGCGUCAGAAGCCCAAGGAUUCGGAAGGUGGUAGGUCUGAGGAUAUGCUCUCGCGUAUUCUAAACAAAGUUGAAGGGUCAGACAAAAUGCUAAGAGGUAUGAAAGAAGACGUGUCUACCCUCAGCCAGACUGUCACCUCUCAUUUAGUUUCAAUCAAACAGUUAGAGACCCAAAUGGGUCAUAUCUCAUCUCAUCUAAAUCCGAGACAACAUGGGGUUUUCCUAGUGAUACUAUGCCUAACCCCAAGAGUGAGGUCUGAAGGUUAACUUGCAUCGUGUCGCGACGUUAACUAAGGCGUUGUUUGGGAGGCAACCCAAAACCAUUUACUUGCCUUUUGUUACCUUGAUAAAAUAAUAGUAUGUUGUUUGUACAGAUUGAAUAAGGAAAGCGCUUGAUAAGAUGCAUGGAGGUCAACAACAGUUCAGUUUGGCAGGUCGCUGACAAGUUCGGCGUACCCGAGCAUUCCCAUUAUUUUACGUAAUACAGCUUAAAGGUUGAGUCUAUACAACUCGGCAGAGUAUGAACUUUGUCGGCAUAUCGCCAAUCCAAUUGGCGAUCUCGAUAAUGACCCCCGAUGCAAUGCUUACUUGAACUGAAAACUCUGAUAUAUUCGACGAGGAAAUUCGACAUUCAGCAUUUUGCCGAGUGAUCAAACGAGAUCAACUAACAUCGCCGAAUGAGCAGAAACUGGACAGUCACAAGCUGCAGGUUUAAAAGUUCUAUUUCAUUCACUUUCUUUCACUUGGUCCCUUUUCACAAACUCACACUCGCACUUUAGUAGUUAUAUCUCUUGCACCUUUUAGAGUAUUUUAAGUAUCAAAUUGUGCGCGGAUUUGGAUCACAUUGUUGCCUAGCACGUCAAUUCAAUCUAAUUCAACACCAAAGAUUAGUAAUCGAACGCCUCAGUUGUUUUAUCAAAACUUAUACUCAUCUGGAUAAUGAUUGAUAGUGUAACGUCUCUGCUGAUUCGAUAGAGUUACGUUGCAUUAUUGAUUAUUAACAAGUAGUAUUUACGAAAUUGGUGAGAUUCUACUAGGCUAUACUUUGGAGUUAAAUCAUUUUGCUAUGGGAUUGCUAUAAUUGUGUUGGGUCUUCAUUAAAUUGGUGUUGUACAAUCUUGCAUUGCGUUAUCUGGAGUUGCGGGGUGAAGUUUGAAAGGCUGGGUCAAAAAUAGGCACGUUGAGCUGAGCGGCGAGGUGAACAAAUUCCGCCGAACAGCUCGGCGGUUCACCUAAUGCCCCUAUUUCGCCUUUAACUAACUACUUUAUGUAUUCAUUGAUCUGUGACUUUCGGAGAGCAGUUUAAUUUGCAAAAUGCACUCGGUGACUCACCGAAAGAUCCUUUGUUCACCCUUUGUAUGCACCAUUGUAUAAAUUGUGCAUCAUUUUCAAUGACUAGCCUGACAGGAUAAGCACUUUGUCAACUAGCUUGGCUAAGUGAUUCCACCCUCAAAAACACCCGUUUACCUCUGUUCGAAUUACUAUAUAACUUAUCUUCGAAGCCUUUGCAGAAAUGGCUAAACCAAAAGUCGCAGGGAGAAAUUAUCCUCCCAGGUACAUAAGAGCACGAGAGUUUAAAAAUGAUGAAAAGAAAGUGGAGCUAGCCAGACAAAGAAAAUAUACCAAUGAAUCCAGAGCAAAGAGAUAAGUACCCAUCGACCCCAAUGUGCCUACAUGGGCUAGAAGUUUUGUUAAUGCAAUACGGGCCUUCGGAGCAGCUUAAGAGAUAGAUUAGAUGAUUGCAGCUAAUCUUGCUGCACAGGCCAAGGCAGAAGCAAACAAUACUCUGGGUAUUGAUGCCCAGACAGAUGAAGCAACAUAUUAGCCAUGAUCACCUCUUUACCUCCCUUCUUGUAUCUCUAUAUUUUCCAGUUUGGAUUAUGUAUUACCUGUAUUUGAGGACAAAUUGCUUUUUAUUUGUGGUGGGGUGAGGCCACACUUUUGUGUGCUGUUUAAGAUUCGUGUUUUGAAUACAUUUGGGUUGUCUGUUUAUAAUUGUGUUAAUAAUUGCUUUUUUGUGGAUGUUUGAGCUCGUGGCUCCGUUUACUUUUAAUUGCAAAAUGAUUUUGACCAUCCCAAAAAAUUUAAAAUUUUUUGCACAUUUUUGCCACCCCUCGCGAGUUGAAUGUGGUUGUUCUUUUGCAAGAAUUUAAGUCUCGGUUUCGAUCAAUAUCGAUGACUUGAAUAGUGCUCUUAAUUGAACGAACAUGAAUGUAUGGCUAUGAUGAGGCCAAAUGAAGUUGCAUAGACAAUAUGUGAACUCUUUGCAUCUCGUUGUGAUUAGCCAUUUAUCGAAUUGAUUCCCUUGUUAUGACCGUUGCACACUAGCGAAAAUGUGUAGUCUUGCUUAACUGAUGUGUCGAUGCCUUGUGUGAUUAGCUUGCUUUGAACCAUGCAUGAAUAAACCUAGAAUUUGCCCUGUUAGUCUAAUUGAUUUAAGAAAGGUGUCCUCUUGAAAUGAUAUUAGGCAACUUUAAAGAGUGUGAGCCAAUUUUAACAUAUACCUCUUUUGUGGCCUACCCGUGAGUGUGUGAAACUCUUUUGAACACCCUUUGAGCCUUACCUUUCUUUGGAAGAACCUUGAUGAACCCUAGACCUUACUUGACCCACUACCUACAAUCCUCUUAAUUUGUGAUUUAGUGAAUAGCCAACUUAGGCCAAAAGCCUAAGUUGGGGGUGUGGUGAAAAGGAAAAGGAGAAGUCAAGAAGUGAAAGAAAAAGUCCCCCCCUAACCCAUGGGAUUGCAUAAGUGGAAACCCCUUCAAUGCAAAAUAACCCGAAGGAAAUCGGGUUUCCAAAAAUUCCAUGAAGGUGAAUAAACAGGUGACUUAGAAGCAUUAGAAAAAGAAUUGAUAAAGGAGGAGAAAGGAAUGCCUUGAGAAUACCACAUCUCAUGAGGAUGAAAAAGUCAGUGAGCCUAAAUGACCAUACCUUUACACUCAGCCCCAUUACUAGCCUUAGAAAGACCUUUUUGAUCUUGAGUAAGCCGAAUCAAAAGUCGCUUGGAAAAUAAUGGCAAACCUAUGGGUGAAAGCAUGCAUUGUGUUCCUCUUUUUGAGUGGGAGCGUUGCAUCUGAUUCCUGAUCUUGAAUUGAUUAACCUCUGUGUGUGAAUAUGAAAUCAUUCUUCAUGGGAGGGCUUUUAGAUACUUUUUGUCGAACUUGAACUUGCACAAGUAGCAAGUAUUACGAGCAUGAGAAUUUCUGGUAAUGGUGUGCCACAACUUGAAUCUUUGAGUACACAGUUGAUCUUUGCAUAAGUAAUUUGAAUCUUGUUGCGUAUGUUCAUGAUUGAUUCUUGUGUAGCACUAUUUGAGACACCCUUUUUGAACGGCUGAACUUGACUUUUCUUGAGGACAAGCAAAACUUUAAGUUGAGGGUGUUGAUGAGUCCACAAAUUGGACUCAUUUAGGGCUUUAUUUUGAUAAGAAUAGUGUCCUCAAAUGCUUAUUUUGUCUAAAUAUCUUAUGAAAACAAUUAAGUUUCAGAAAUUUGAAAUUUUAGUGAAAUCAUGGACACUUAGGCGCAAAAAACUAAGGAACAAAAAGGCUGAAAGGAACAAAGAAGCUGAAGCCCGAGCAUCGCCAGGCACACUUGGCAAUUCGCCAAAGGGAUUUACUUUGCCCUUUGUUCCAGUACGUGAAGCCCUGAAGGAGAAGAAUAAAAAAAGGAUGAAAUGAGCAGUCGACGCUUCGCCGAAUAGUUCCACGAAGCAGUACUAUACCGCCCAAUAGUCCAGAACAUGAAGAUGCGGAAGGCAAGCACGAAGCGGCGAUGAGACAAACGAAGGGUGAAUAACCGAAGUCAUUCGGCGAUAUCGACUAACUUCGCCGAAAGAUUCGCCAGCGCUAUUUUCUGAAGUCUAUAAAUACUGAACUUCUUAUUAAUUUUAGAGAGUCGAACAUUUAUUUUAAUUUCUAGAAUAGAAUAAUACUUUUUGGAUAUUUUUCUGUCAAGUUUGGAGAAGGUUUUGUGGGAGACUUGAAAAGAGAAGGAAUUAAUCUUCCCAAACUUGGAAGUGGGUCUUCUCCAUUCUUCUUCCUUUGCUUAAAUAAAGGUUUAAUUUCUUAUACCCAUUUGAUUUCUACUAUCAUUUUAGGUGUAUUUUUUUAUUUCUUAAUGUGUGACUAAAAACCCCAUUCUUGGGGUGUGAUUUAGCAAAUAUGUGUUGACAUUAUUGUUGGGUCUUGCUUGCUGAUAGGUAAGAUGUAGUUUAAUGGUAAUUUCACCUAGUGGUUGUGGUUUAAUCUAAAGGGUUUGUAUUUACAAAAACAAAGCCACCCAUGUGUUUUCGGCUUGCCGAGAGGGAGGUCGCGAAACCAAGACCACUGGACUGAUGGCCUAAGGAAUGGGUCGACAUGAGGUUCAGCCCGAGAAGGUGAACCCUAGUCCCAUAUCCUAACACUCAGCUUGAGAGAGUGAGUGGGGUAAGGCGUAGAUUGGUCUUCAUGCGGCAAAUGGGUGUCCGAGAGGAACGCAUUUGAAACGGGGUAACUUGCUCGAGAGGGAACUUAUUUCCAUUUAAAGCUUAGCCUAGUCACUAUUAUCUUACAAAUUUCCUUUCAAAAGCAUGUACCCAACUACUUAUCUCAACUUGUAUUGCGGUCACACCCCAAGAAUAUUUCCCCAUACUUGAUUUUCUUGUUAAUUUUUGCUAUUUUUACUACUUGUGACAAAACCCCCAAAUCGAUAUUGACACUUUCGUGUCACCUCUUUAAUUUACUAUGUUUUUACUCGUUAAUAUAUUUAGCUACGACUAGUUAGAGUUAAAUUUUAUUUUUCUAUCAAUUCUCAAAACCACUCUCUUGGGACACGACCCCAACCUUUAGUUGGGUUACUAUAUUGUCGACGAUAAGCAUCAGUAAUCAAUUGUGACCAAAAUGAAUCGAUGUCCAUUAGAAGAUUUUGGCUCAAUUGGUCUGAUGACAUCCAUUCCCCAUGUAACAAAGGGCCAAAUAGCGGCCAUGGGUUAUGAUUCUGAUGGAGGUGCAUGAAUGAGAUCACCAUAAAUUUGACAUAGAUGACAUUUUUUCACAAAGCGAAAGCAAUUCCGUUCAAUGGUAAGCCAGUAACAUCCUACUCGAAGUAUCUUUUAUGCAAGGAAAUAUCCAUUCAUGUGUGGUCCACAUACCCCAGCAUGAACUUCAUUCAUGAUCUUCUUGGCUUCUUCAGCAUCUACACAUCUUAACAAGUUUAGAUCCGGGGUUCGUUUAUAUAAAAUUUCCUCGCUAAAAAAGAAACCACUAGCCAGACGUCUAAUAGUUCUUUUUUGGCUUCCAUUGGCAUGUUCGGGACAUCUCCCUGUCUCAAAAAUUACUUGAUGUCUAGGUACCAUGGCUCACCAUCUGGUUCUGCUUCCACUGUAUUACAAUAGCCAUGUUGGUCCCAAACUUGAAUCUCCAAGGGAGUGAUGCAAGUAUUUCCAGGAUAUGGAAGCAUUGAGGCCAAAGUAGCCAAGGCAUCUGCAUAUUCAUUAUGAAACCUGGGGAUGUAUCUAAACACGAUGGACCUGAACCUUUUGCUAAGAUCUUCCACACAUUGUCUGUAUGGAAGAAGCUUGAGGUUUCGAGAUUUCCAUUCGCCUUGAGCUUGCCGAACAAGCAAAUCAGAAUCUCCCAACACAAUCAAUUCUUGCACACCCAAAUAUAUUUCCAUAUUUAGACCCAUGAUGCAAUCUUCAUACUCUGUUGUGUUAUUUGUAUAGAAGAAACAAAGUCGAGCUAUUGCAGGGUAAUGCUGCCUUGUGGGUGAUAUGAGAAUUGCCCCAAUCCCUGUGCCUUUUGCGUUGAUUGCUCUAUCAAAGUACAAUUGCCAGGCCUGAUUUCCAUCUGAACCUACUUCUUCAAUUGAGUUAAUCUAUUCAUUUGAAAAAUAUGUAUCCAAUGGUUCGUAGUCGCCAUCGACUGGAUUCUCUGCCAAAUGAUCUGCAAAAGCUUGGGCUUUCAUUGCCGUUCAAGUGACAUAUAUAAUGUCAAAUUCAGUGAGAAAGAUUUGCCAUUUCACGAGUCUGCCAGUUGGAAUUGGCUUCUGAAAGAUGUACUUCAAAGGGUCCAUCUUAGAUAUGAGGUAAUGUAACGACUCAGAAAAUGAUAGGUUAAGCAAGAGCCUAUGACUUUAUGUUGACUUUAUAAUGAGGUUCUAUGAGGGGUUUUUAUGUAAUUUCAUUUUAAUUGUGUUACAUCCGACAAUUUAAAAUGAAUAUGAAGUAGCUUGAAAUUGGAAGUAGUCACUUUUGGAAAAAGUUCAGAACCUGGAAAUUUGGCUAAGUGUGGGAAAUCAGUGAGUUUUUGGCCAACUUUGAGCAGUCAUAACUCCUAGCUUAUGAUGAUCCAGGAGUAGUUCUAGUUCUUUUUGGAAAGCCCUUGGAACGAUCUUUCCAACGCCACUGAGUUUGCUCGAUUCCGAGUUCAUAUGAGCGAGUUAUACCCUUUGAAAGUUGGGCAGUUAGCAAGGAGUCCGUCCGGAAAUUUAAGGGCAUUUUGGUCUUUUCACAAAUCUUUUCUUUUGAGGUUAUAUUAUUGUGUUAGGCUGAUUGUGGAUCAUUUUUGUUCCAUUUUAAAAGAGUAAGAGUUAGGGUUCUUGAGUGAAGAANNNNNNNNNNNNNNNNNNNNNNNNGAAGAAGAAGAAGAAGAAGUUGGAGCUAGGAUUGAAGAUUUUGAGUUCUUUCUUCUUCAAUUCUCGUGGGUUUUCAACUUAGAGGUAUGGGGAUCCUUUAUCCUUGAUUAUUCUUCCUUUCAAGGAGCUCAAUUCAAAUGAUUCAAAGUUCUUCCCAAAAACACAAAAAUCCUAAUUUCGAUUCUAAGCAUGGGUUCUUGCAUUAAAUAUUUAUUUUUUGAUGAUUUACGUUAUUAAUGGUGUCUAUUGAUGGUUUUAAGAAAGAAAUUUCCAUGAACCCAUGUCUUGGCAAGUUUCCUAAAGUUGGCUUAUGAAGUGGGUUUAUUAUUUAUGAUUGAAUGAUGAUGGAAGUAUGCUUGGAUUGAGUUGAAUAGUUGACUUCUAUUAUUAUCUAUGCUUAUCUAUUGUGAAUUGUUGGAGAGUUGAGGAAUGGUGAUUGUGGCUUGGGAAAAAGGGUAAGUGGACCUAACUUCAUUGUUAAGGUAGAAUUGAUAUAGAAUUGUGAUAGAUUGAUGUGUGAUCCACUUAUGGUGGAGGUGUUUAAUUAUGGAAUGUAUUAUGAACAUGGACUUGAAGGCAUUAUCUAUUGAAUUAAAGUGUUAUCAAGUUAUGAAAUGUUAUUGUACUAUGUGAAGGUAUUCUUAUGGUUAUAAGGUGAUCUUGUACAAAGUGUUAUUAUCUUGUUUAAAGUGUUAUUGUAUUGUGAUUGAAAGUGUGUCCUCUAUUAUUGUUCAUAUGUGAUGAUGAUGGAAUGUGAAGGAUCUUUAUAAUGUGAUGUGUGUCUUGACUUGGUAGACUUAGGUGCCUCUUCUUGAUACAUUAGAAGCUUUGUUGAAUAUGAAUCGAUAGGAUAUGGCAUUCCUUUCGGAUGUAAGUGACGAAACCUGUUUUUGAGCUGGAUAGUGUUUGGUAUUUUAGGCAUAUCUCUUGCUCUAGAACUUAGUUUGCAGUGAAUAAAUAUGAUUUGGAAAGCUAACUCGUAUACCUACAACUUUUAUGUUUAUGUAAAAUUCUAAUUUAACUGUUAUGGAUACGAAAUAUGGGACGCAACAUAGGGCAAGUUCUGCCCAGAUUCCGAGAAUUGAAAUCCUGCAUGACCAGCGGCUAGUGUCUUGACUAUAUCUUUUUGUACAAAAUAAAUUUUGCGGUGAUCCUUGUUUGUUUGCAACCCUAAGAGAUGUAUCUACAUCUUUCAUGAAGGUUAUAAAGUCUAGUUCUGCCAUUUUCCUUUUCAAAUCUAAGAUGCAACAUGAGGUACUAGGCCGGCCAGAUUCACUGUUUUGGGAGCAUAGUUGUAUUUGUACAUGCUAGGCUUACUUAUGAUGAUAAUCCUACUUUACGUCAACAUUACUGAGCUAAUAGAAGUUAAAUAAGUUAUGUAAUUAUAUUUCUAAGGUUGAUAUACUCAUGAACAAGUUGAGGUACGUGGGUUUUAUUGUGGAAACCUUCCUUUCCACAAGUCCAACCAUUUAUCCUCUAUUUCUACUUCAANNNNNNNNNNNNNNNNNNNNNNNNNNNNNNNNNNNNNNNNNNNNNNNNNNNNNNNNNNNNNNNNNNNNNNNNNNNNNNNNNNNNNNNNNNNNNNNNNNNNNNNNNNNNNNNNNNNNNNNNNNNNNNNNNNNNNNNNNNNNNNNNNNNNNNNNNNNNNNNNNNNNNNNNNNNNNNNNNNNNNNNNNNNNNNNNNNNNNNNNNNNNNNNNNNNNNNNNNNNNNNNNNNNNNNNNNNNNNNNNNNNNNNNNNNNNNNNNNNNNNNNNNNNNNNNNNNNNNNNNNNNNNNNNNNNNNNNNNNNNNNNNNNNNNNNNNNNNNNNNNNNNNNNNNNNNNNNNNNNNGAAAUGUCCUUAUCUAAGGUAAUCUUGGGGAACACUUAAGUGUGCUUGAAGAGGAUUGUGUGGGCGGUCACUUCUUGUCUCACUCAAGUGUGUCUUAAGGUUAUAUUAGGUAGAGGUCCUAUGGUAAUGAAAUGACAUGUGUUCUUUUAAAGUUAAGCAUGGAUUGUAUAUGGACAUAUGUUGAGUAUAUGUAUGGUUGGCUAUGGUCUUAUAUGUUAAUGUUGACUUGUAUUAUGUCUCUUAUACUUGUAAAGGAAAGGUUUUAUCAAAGGAUAUGAAAGCAUACAUUUCUUGUAAAUGUCCGUUGUGCAUAUUUUCUUGCAUGGUCUCCAUACUUAGUACUUAAUUGUGCUAACCCCUUUCUUUCGCUUUUUGACUAAAGUGUAGGGAUUUGGAGAUGGUGAUAUGUCAUGGCUACUUGAUAGGUUUUUAAGAGUUGAAGAUGAAGACUUGGUGAGUCCUCAUAGAUUCGAGGGCAAUAACCAACAUGUUUUUUUUUUAUGUCUCUCUAGUAUUUGCUUAAGUUUUGAGUGGGCUUAGUCCCAAUGUUAUAUUCAAGUAUUAGAUGGUUUUGAGACAUAUUGUAUAAAGUCUAGAAAGUCUUCCGCUUGCUAUUUAUUGAA
RNAcentral lists this long non-coding RNA (10526 nucleotides) under Solanum tuberosum (potato). Its description in RNAcentral is "long non-coding RNA (STUB_LNC005758)". The record is from RNAcentral. Lineage: Eukaryota; Viridiplantae; Streptophyta; Magnoliopsida; Solanales; Solanaceae.